Molecule: non-coding RNA, 179 nt
Filed under: Lutispora thermophila DSM 19022
Lineage: Bacteria; Bacillati; Bacillota; Clostridia; Lutisporales; Lutisporaceae
Description: 6S / SsrS RNA
Rfam family: 6S / SsrS RNA
About the family: E. coli 6S RNA was the first non coding RNA to be sequenced, but its function was unknown until recently. It consists of 184 nucleotides that fold into an extended hairpin structure with a large single-stranded internal bulge.
Source: Rfam by way of RNAcentral
AUUUACCUGAGAUGUUAGUCAGGGAUAAAACCUUAACCUACAGAUAGAAUACGGGAGCUUGGGUACCAUUAUGGAAAUCGAGCCUUCUUUAAAAGUUGGUGGAUUGAAGUAGUGGUCAGAGCACCCACCUGUGUGAGUGCAGGUGUAAGGUUUAUAUCUGACGGCAUUUUGGGUCAUAA